CAGCGGCGGUAAUACGGAGGGUGCAAGCGUUAUCCGGAUUUAUUGGGUUUAAAGGGUCCGUAGGCGGAUCUGUAAGUCAGUGGUGAAAUCUCACAGCUUAACUGUGAAACUGCCAUUGAUACUGCAGGUCUUGAGUAAAUUUGAAGUGGCUGGAAUAAGUAGUGUAGCGGUGAAAUGCAUAGAUAUUACUUAGAACACCAAUUGCGAAGGCAGGUCACUAAGAUUUAACUGACGCUGAUGGACGAAAGCGUGGGGAGCGAACAGGAUUAGAUACCCCUGUAGUCCCUGUCUCUUAUACACC
RNAcentral lists this ribosomal RNA (301 nucleotides) under uncultured bacterium. RNAcentral describes it as "partial 16S ribosomal RNA". It matches the Rfam family "Bacterial small subunit ribosomal RNA", at positions 512 to 810 of the family's 1533-position model. The record is from RNAcentral.